AAGACUAUACUUUCAGGGAUCAUUUCUAUAGUAUGUUACUAGAGAAUUGUGGCUGAAAGUGUAGCACAGAGGUAACCACGAGGAGGAGCUGUGGUGUCUUCUUCUGAGUGUGAGGCUCCUUCCUGACAUUGUCAGCAGCUGCUGCUUAAUGUUGAUGAUCAUCCUUCGCUUCCUUUUUGUGGGGUGAGAGGAAGAUAACACAGGAGGUGUGGU
Molecule: small nucleolar RNA, 213 nt
Filed under: Phascolarctos cinereus (koala)
Lineage: Eukaryota; Metazoa; Chordata; Mammalia; Diprotodontia; Phascolarctidae
Description: Small nucleolar RNA U3 (ENSPCIG00000015588.2)
Rfam family: Small nucleolar RNA U3
About the family: Small nucleolar RNAs (snoRNAs) are involved in the processing and modification of rRNA in the nucleolus.
Source: Rfam by way of RNAcentral